RNAcentral lists this ribosomal RNA (253 nucleotides) under uncultured bacterium. Its description in RNAcentral is "partial 16S ribosomal RNA". It matches the Rfam family "Bacterial small subunit ribosomal RNA", at positions 524 to 776 of the family's 1533-position model. The record is from RNAcentral.
GACGUAGGAGGCGAGCGUUGUCCGGAGUUACUGGGCGUAAAGCGCGCGCAGGCGGCCCUGCGCGCUGCCGGUGAAAGCUCCCGGCUCACCUGGGAGAGGUUCGGCAGGACAGCAGGGCUGGAGGGCGGUAGAGGGUGGUGGAAUUCCCGGUGUAGUGGUGAAAUGCGUAGAGAUCGGGAGGAACACCCGUAGCGAAGGCGGCCACCUGGGCCGACCCUGACGCUGAGGCGCGAAGGCCAGGGGAGCGAACGGG